CCCUUAGACGUUCUGGGCCGCACGCGCGCUACACUGACCAGUGCAACAAGCAUCCGUCCUUGGCCGACAGGCCCGGGCAAUCUUUGAACGCUGGUCGUGAUGGGGAUAGACUUUUGCAAUUUUUGGUCUUCAACGAGGAAUUCCUAGUAAACGCAAGUCAUCAACUUGCAUUGAUUACGUCCCUGCCCUUUGUACACACCGCCCGUCGCACCUACCGAUUGAAUGGUCCGGUGAAGCCUCCGGAUUGGCGCGCACCUCGGUGCCGCCGAGAAGUUGGCUAAACCUUACCAUUUAGAGGAAGCUGAAGUCGUAACA
RNAcentral lists this ribosomal RNA (315 nucleotides) under uncultured eukaryote. Its description in RNAcentral is "partial 18S ribosomal RNA". It matches the Rfam family "Eukaryotic small subunit ribosomal RNA", at positions 1470 to 1796 of the family's 1831-position model. The record is from RNAcentral.